Long non-coding RNA from Austrofundulus limnaeus, 1212 nucleotides. RefSeq lists it as uncharacterized. Lineage: Eukaryota; Metazoa; Chordata; Actinopteri; Cyprinodontiformes; Rivulidae. The transcript has 3 exons. The record is from RefSeq and is a predicted model, not a curated record.
GAGCGGAGAAAAACGUGGGACUUGAGCAUGUGAAUGAAGAACAUGCGGGCAAAGGAGACAAACCUUCUCAGCGUGACCUAUCUGUAAAAUCGGCUACAUAUUUCCAGGGCAAAUGUCACAGGUGACCUUGGGAUGUACGAGAGGUGGAAUUAAAUCUGCGGGCUUAAUGGAGCUGUUGCAGGAUGGUGAUUUGCUGGCCCAGCUGUGAUGUAACCUGUCUGCUAUUGACUGACUCCUCCUGGUGGACCUCCUCUACAUCUUGGUUGGAUCAUUCAACUCCUGCUCCUCCGAACACAAAACACAAUCCUCUAAUUAAGACCAACGCCCGGUCCCAAUACUCACACUACCCUACACCCCUCUAUGAAGUGUGUACUCAGUUCAAGUGAACAUAAGGGUUUGAGUGUGCAGGUUACAUGUGUGCAAAAGUUUGAGAAUUGGGACAGUACAGGUUACGUCAUCAACUUGUGCUACUGCGUAGUGAAUGAGACAUCCAAAAUGGCAGGAAUGGUCRUUGUUUUGGCAUUUGUACUGCUAAAAACGAAUGUUGUACAACUACAACAAACACUCAUUUUUAGGAAUUGUUUUCUUGGCGAUUGGCAGACAAAUUUAAGCGUAUUACCGCCAAUAGCCUGGAAGGUGCUCAGUGGACAUUGCCAUAUUUCUGCCUUUUAAUUCAAAAUGUCACAUACAGCAAUGAAUUGUGGGAUAAUUCACUUCGCUGAAGUUAAUUUGGAUGUGAGCUUAGCAGAUGUGUGGAUCAAGGGCAGGGUGAAAGACCACUCUGGAGAAUUGGAACACAUUAUGUACCCAAACCCUUCAGCGGGAACRUGCAUUUGAAGAACACAAGGGUGGAAGUGCGAGUAUUGGGACCUGGCUCAGCUCUCUUGCCAUUUAGGGUGAAUUUGCAGCCAUUUUGCUGGGUGUUGUCUUGUGGGUGAAAUGUCUGGCUUUGGCCUUCUGACAGGUCAAGUUCAGUUUGUGUUCAAGGGUUUGGUUUUUGAGGUUUGUUGUAAAACUGAUUUUUUUAAGCUGUUGAAGGCUGUUUUACAGGAAGACUCUUCAUUAGGGUUUGGAUUUUGUGGCUAAAAUUGCCAAUUUCUUUGUUAGAAGGGGGUUAUAAUGUUUGAUUUUGACCCAGUUUACAUUUGUGAAUGUAGGUAGUGUAAUUUUGUUUUCCUCAAUACUUGUACAGCACAACUUCAGCUGCAUGAC